Molecule: long non-coding RNA, 388 nt
Organism: Gallus gallus (chicken)
Lineage: Eukaryota; Metazoa; Chordata; Aves; Galliformes; Phasianidae
Source: Ensembl
GGGAGCACAGCCCCGAGUCUGAGGCACAGUCCCAAGACAGCCUCGCUGCCAGCGGCUGCCUGAUGGAACCACGUAUGCUGGCAGCAGCCUAAUGAGCUGCCCUUAAGAUGUGUGCUGCGGAGGGAAAUGACAUUCAGAGUCCAACCUGGCUCUUUCUCCCUCACUGCCAGCUUCCACUCAUGAGUCAGGAGACUUCAGUUCUUCACACCCAGAGCUGACUGUGGGGUGGCCAAAGUCACUUCUCCACCAUCUCCAUUUUGGAUGCUACUAGGAUGAACUGGAAUCAAAACUAAAAGCAAGACGUUCACCAACAGUUAACUUGUAUUUAAUAGAAAACUGGACAGGAUCGUAUCCCCAGCUUGCUUGCUUUCUUCUUUCUUUCUCUCUU